AAUGACAGAUAAUCUUACCCUCAUAUAUCUAUGGGAAUAUGGCCCAUAAGUUUCUACCCAAUAACCGUAAAUUAUUGGACUAUGAGGGAAAGUCAAUAUGUU
Molecule: non-coding RNA, 102 nt
Organism: Bacillus sp. X1(2014)
Lineage: Bacteria; Bacillati; Bacillota; Bacilli; Caryophanales; Bacillaceae
Source: Rfam